This 168-nucleotide ribosomal RNA is filed under the name Triticum aestivum (bread wheat). RNAcentral's name for it is "partial small subunit ribosomal RNA". Lineage: Eukaryota; Viridiplantae; Streptophyta; Magnoliopsida; Poales; Poaceae. The record is from RNAcentral.
CUCUUCUCUCUGGUCUCACUUCGAGUCCUUCUAGAAGUAAAUAAAGUAAAUGCUUAUUCAACUACGGCACUGUCAGACAAUCGACCGGAUUCAAGCCCUAGCCCCUCAACUUGGACGGACUUGUGGAAAUCCUCGAAAACAAGUAUUGCUCACCUCACCUAUCUAUAA